AUGCAAGUCGAGCGGUAGAGAGAAGCUUGCUUCUCUUGAGAGCGGCGGACGGGUGAGUAAUGCCUAGGAAUCUGCCUGGUAGUGGGGGAUAACGUUCGGAAACGGACGCUAAUACCGCAUACGUCCUACGGGAGAAAGCAGGGGACCUUCGGGCCUUGCGCUAUCAGAUGAGCCUAGGUCGGAUUAGCUAGUUGGUGGGGUAAUGGCUCACCAAGGCGACGAUCCGUAACUGGUCUGAGAGGAUGAUCAGUCACACUGGAACUGAGACACGGUCCAGACUCCUACGGGAGGCAGCAGUGGGGAAUAUUGGANCAUGGGCGANAGCCUGAUCCAGCCAUGCCGCGUGUGUGAAGAAGGUCUUCGGAUUGUANAGCACUUUUAGUUGGGAGGAAGGGUUGUANNAUUAUACUCUNGCAUUUUGACGUNACCGACAGAAUAGGCACGGGCUAA
This 450-nucleotide ribosomal RNA is filed under the name uncultured bacterium. RNAcentral's name for it is "bacterial SSU rRNA". It matches the Rfam family "Bacterial small subunit ribosomal RNA", at positions 55 to 500 of the family's 1533-position model. The record is from RNAcentral.